UGGGGAAUAUUGCGCAAUGGGCGAAAGCCUGACGCAGCGACGCCGCGUGAGGGAUGAAGGUUUUCGGAUCGUAAACCUCUGUCAGAAGGGAAGAAACCGCACUGUGCUAAUCAGCAGUGCCUUGACGGUACCUUCAAAGGAAGCACCGGCUAACUCCGUGCCAGCAGCCGCGGUAAUACGGAGGGUGCAAGCGUUAAUCGGAAUUACUGGGCGUAAAGCGCACGUAGGCUGCUUUGUAAGUCAGGGGUGAAAUCCCACGGCUCAACCGUGGAACUGCCUUUGAUACUGCUUAGCUUGAAUCCGGGAGAGGGUGGCGGAAUUCCAGGUGUAGGAGUGAAAUCCGUAGAUAUCUGGAGGAACAUCAGUGGCGAAGGCGGCCUCCUGGACCGGUAUUGACGCUGAGGUGCGAAAGCGUGGGGAGCAAACAGG
Molecule: ribosomal RNA, 429 nt
Filed under: Fusobacteriota bacterium
Lineage: Bacteria; Fusobacteriati; Fusobacteriota
Description: Fusobacteria bacterium partial 16S ribosomal RNA
Rfam family: Bacterial small subunit ribosomal RNA
Source: RNAcentral